ACGAACGCUGGCGGCGUGCUUAACACAUGCAAGUCGAGCGGUAAGGCCUUUCGGGGUACACGAGCGGCGAACGGGUGAGUAACACGUGGGUGACCUGCCCUCCACUCUGGGAUAAGCCUGGGAAACUGGGUCUAAUACCGGAUAUGACCUUCUCCUGCAUGGGGGUUGGUGGAAAGUUUUUUCGGUGGGGGAUGGGCCCGCGGCCUAUCAGCUUGUUGGUGGGGUGAUGGCCCACCAAGGCGACGACGGGUAGCCGGCCUGAGAGGGCGACCGGCCACACUGGGACUGAGACACGGCCCAGACUCCUACGGGAGGCAGCAGUGGGGAAUAUUGCGCAAUGGGCGAAAGCCUGACGCAGCGACGCCGCGUGGGGGAUGACGGCCUUCGGGUUGUAAACCUCUUUCGCCAGGGACGAAGCGUGAGUGACGGUACCUGGAUAAGAAGCACCGGCCAACUACGU
RNAcentral lists this ribosomal RNA (460 nucleotides) under uncultured bacterium. Its description in RNAcentral is "bacterial SSU rRNA". It matches the Rfam family "Bacterial small subunit ribosomal RNA", at positions 29 to 506 of the family's 1533-position model. The record is from RNAcentral.